AGCAGCCGCGGUAAUUCCAGCUCCAAUAGCGUAUAUUAAAGUUGUUGCAGUUAAAAAGCUCGUAGUUGAAUUUCGGAAUUUUUUAUCGGUUGAAUCAACAGGUUCGUACUGAUUUUAAGAAUUUCUACCUUCUGGAGAACCUUAAUGUCAUUAAUUUGGUGUUUUGGGAAACCAGGACUGUUACCUUGAAAAAAUUAGAGUGUUUAAAGCAGGCUUAUGUCUGAAUAUAUUAGCAUGGAAUAAUGAAAUAGGACGGCAUGGUUCUAUUUUGUUGGUUUCUAGGAUCACCGUAAUGAUUAAUAGGGAUAGUUGGGGGCAUUAGUAUUCAAUUGUCAGAGGUGAAAUUCUUGGAUUUAUUGAAGACUAACUUCUGCGAAAGCAUUUGCCAAGGAUGUUUUC
This 399-nucleotide ribosomal RNA is filed under the name uncultured Glomeromycotina. Its description in RNAcentral is "SSU rRNA". It matches the Rfam family "Eukaryotic small subunit ribosomal RNA", at positions 569 to 971 of the family's 1831-position model. The record is from RNAcentral. Lineage: Eukaryota; Fungi; Glomeromycota.